Molecule: long non-coding RNA, 12825 nt
Organism: Equus caballus (horse)
Lineage: Eukaryota; Metazoa; Chordata; Mammalia; Perissodactyla; Equidae
Source: RefSeq, a predicted model, not a curated record
CACAAUAAGCUGUUCCUGCCCCCUCGAGAGCUGACUACUGAGCUGCGAAGACAACCCAUCAAACAGUUAACAUCUUGGGAGAAAGGAAAAGCAGAGCAAGGGGAGAGACCAGCAGGGCAAGGCACACCCUCGGCUCAAAUUUGCUUUGAAGGUCAGUAAUUUUUACUUCUUUUCAAAACAACUGCACAUUUCUUCUGGCACCCAAAUGCUGAUUCUCUGCACUGAAGAAUGUCUCCCUCAACAACAGACACACCCUGGAGGGAUGUAUCGUCUCCCCACCCCCACCCUAAAUCCCGGACUGGCUGCAGAGACCACCCAAUGCAGCCUCAUUGCCUGGAGCAUCCUAGAGUCACCAAGGGCCACCUUGCCAUCUUAGGAAUGGGAACCAACAUCAACCAAGGCCAAGAUGGAUGCAUCUUUUCAAGCUCUGCGUGCAGUGCCCCUGGGUCCCACCUGCUCACUGCUCUCCCAGCCUUGCCCUCCUCUGGCUCCCUCACCUCACAGAGAGCCAGUAUGCUGAGAAGAAAGCCCCUCCAGCACCAGAUCACUCUGCUGUUUUUGAGCUCUCUGCCAGGAGUCCUGUGGUAAAGGCCUGGACCGGUCCUGGGCUGGAAGACAGGGCACCUGGCACACCACUGACUGACCUGCCAUGUGACUCCAGGCCAGCUAUUAACUCCUCUACCAGGGGCAAUCUCAAUACUAACCACAGGUGGUCGGGACCCACCAGAAGUUAUCGGCAUGAACAAGUUUUGGAAAUUAAAGUGCUAUAAAAAUUACAUAACUCUGUGGCCCAGAUAUUCUGUCAAGUGUUAAUUCUCUCUCACAGUUUGAAUUCUACUGAUCACUUUCUUUACCCAUGAAGGAUAAUUAAUAACGAAACCAUUUGUGGAGUUUCUAUCAUGUUCCAAGUACAUUACAAAUAUCCCAAAGUAAAGGAUCUUACAGGAGAGGGGACCAAGACUUGGAGACGCAGAGAAGAUACUUCAUUCAACAAACACUUGUAAAGCUCUGCCAUGGGCAUUUUGUUACACUUGACACGGGCACUUCGGACCAACCCUGUCCUCACCUACACAGAGUGUUGACUGGACUCCAGCGACGCUCCAACCCCAGGCUGUCUGCAUCCAAAGCAAAUGCCUCCUUUGGCUCCCCGACUUUGCUUGCUUGCUCUCUGUGGACAAGUUUUUCCUAAGAUAAGGCGAGGAUCUAAAAGGGCUGCUUCUUGAUUCCUCUCCAAACACAUGAUGGAGUCUCAUGUCUGUUGGCGGUCCGCUGGAAUCCUUGACACUCAGCUGGGGAGGGUCUUGGUUCUCUUGCCUCGAGCUUAAUCUCCACCCCAUGGUCGCAAUGCCUCCUACUGCUCUUCUGCUCCUGUCUCUCCCCUGCGUUCUGGCUGACCUUGGGUUGGCACUUCCUCUGUUCCUGAGGCUUCCAUGGCUCCUCAGUGCCUGUUGACUUCUCAGCCCCGUGUCUCAAUCCUUCUUAACUUAGUCCCACCACCUUUCUCAUCUUCUCCCGGACUCCUCCCUCCUUGUGCCAUGGACUCCCUGCAGAUCAUGUGACCACCGUGGGUCUCUCUUUGCUUGGCAGGAGGGAUGGACCUGAGUUUCUCCCAGGGUCUGGGGUCUGGCCUGGUCUUAAUUCAUCCCUCAUCUUUGCCUGAACCCUCGUUGGGGUCCAGGAUCCAUCCUUCCCCUGACUGGUGUGCCCUUUUCCCUGCAGGACGUCUCCACCGUCCUUGGAUGGGAAAGAGGAAUGAAAUUCCCCAGUGCUAGGAAAUGGAGCUUUCUGGGCUUCUUCAGAGAGUCCAGGCAGGGCUUUAGGUCAUGGCUAUAUUUUAUAGAUUUCUUUCUCUCUAAAAGUGAUAUUUUCCUACUAGGGGAAGCAUUUCACAAGCCAAGGCACCCAGCUCAGCCAGAAGCUUGCUAGUGGGGUCACAGUAAGACAGAUGCAGGGUGACCUGGGGGGAGUUGGGGUAGGGAGAGAGGUCAUGCUCUUAAAACAACUGCAGAGAAGAAGACCGCAUUGAGAGCAUUCAACACUCCUUUAUCCAGGGCCCCCUGGGUGCGAGGCUGGCACUCAACUUCUGAGGGCCUUCGAGGCACCCUGAGAGGCCCUUCCUUUUUCUUUGAUUGGCCUAAGAAGAGAAAAUAGAAGUCGACUCCUGGUUUGUUUCUUCGGGUGGUUCCAUUUCCCCUUCUUGUCUGUCGCCCGUCUCCUUGUCCUCGGAAACAAGCCCUGGGAACCUUCUCUUUUAACGGGAAAUUGAGGGAGGCUCCAAAAGCAAAACGCUGAUGCUUCGACACCCUGGGAGUUCUUGCACAGUGGUCCCUGCUUCAUUUGUUUGUUUGCUCGUUUACUCACGAGCUCACUCACUCGUUCGGCAGGUGUGUGCUGAGUGCUCGCUGCAUGCCAGGCAGCGUCCUAGAGCUGCCAGUGAGCCAUGUGGAACCAGGUGGAGGAGCCUCUGCUCACAUGGAGCUUCAAGUUCAGCAGCCAUUCGCUGGUUAUUUAGGAUACUGUGGACUGGUGGCCCUGCUGUUCCCCCUGCCACUGCCGGGGUCCCCCUUCUUUCCCGAGGGGGAGGCUCAGCACACCUCCAUCAGCCACCCACGAGCACUCGCUCUUUGCUUCCACCUGCUUGGUCAGCUCCUGACCUGGCUCAGCUUCAGUCCAGGGUCCCGUCCUCCCCUGGGCCUUGGUAGCACCAGCAGCCUGACCAGCUGCCCAAGUUGGGGUGACAUUCCCAGUGGCAACACAUGGGAUUCACCCGAAGCUGUUUUCACUAGCUCCUGGGAGGGUCCCAUGGCUUCCCAUGGUUACUUGUCCACCCUAGGAGCACCCCUUCAUUCCAACAACGCUUGGGAAAGCCUGCCGUGUACCUGGCGCUGCUCGCGGGGUCAGCUAAGUCAGGGACUCCUGUUUUGCUUCGUUGGUAACAUCUUCUGGUUUCCAGAUGACCUCUCAGUGUAUGUCCAGGUGUUGCCCUCACUAUUGAUUUCUGUCUCAUUAACACCAGGGACUGGAGACCCACAACAAAUAUUUGUUGACCAAGUGACUGAGGACGUUUGGGAAAGGCUUGCCAGAAGAACAAACGUUUGAGCUGGGCCUUAAAGAGGGGUAGGAGCUUCCUGGGUGAAUAAAGGGCUUGGAAAGGCCAGGCCAGUAGAGGAGACAGCAUGAACAAAGGCCUGAGAGAAAGGUGUGAGAGAAAGAACCUGGUAGUGUUGGGGGCCUGGUGAGAGGUUCCACGUGACUAAGGGGGAGCCAAUUGCACCCUGGGAGCGCAGCUGCAGCUGAGGCUGCCAGGAAAAGGAGGGGGAGUCAGAGAAUCUGAGGAGCCUGGAAAGACACUAGGGAAUUUGGACUCCAACUGAUAGAAGUUAGUGGUGAUUUUUGAGAAAGGGAGUGACACCAUUUUAUGUAUUUAUUUUUUAGGUCAGUUACUGCGGGUGUGGGUAGAAUGUAGACUUAGGGGGAGAAUGAUAGAGAAAAAAGUAUUUAGAAUAUUUAGAAGGCUCUUGUGAUAGCCUCUUUUAAAAUCUAUAUUUAAUGAAGCUCCGAAUAGUGAUAAAGGACCAGCUAAACUAAAAAUACACUGUGAUGGGGAGAAUAAUGAAUUUUCAAAUUAUUCUGUUAUUUACAUAGAAUCAAAGAGGCUCCCUUCCCAGAAGGACUCCCCUGUAAUUCUAGUGGCUACUCACGUGCAUUUAACUUGACCUUUCUUUGUGCUGUAUAAAAAUAAUUUGAUUUUCUGCUGGUCUGUCCAUGCAGCCACCAGAAUAUAAUUAUUCGGAAAAAAAAGUUUGUUUCAUAGCCUUGUUUAUCAGGUGGCACAUCAGCUUUCCUGGGUAAAUGAGAUGGCUGAGUUUUGUUAAGCAAAGCUGUAUACAAUAUUCGUCACACAAUUAUGUGGACACAUUUAACAUAGCUGCCAGGAAAAAAAAGACCUUCUGGGCUCAAAGCUUGCCAGCUUGCAUAUAUACGCAAGUUAGAGGUGUCACGCUUGUCCCAGAACCUUUAUGUGCUCUGAAGGCAGUGGAUGCCGGAAGAGAAAUCUCCACGGUCUGUGUUUAUCAUUGGCACCUCAUGUGAGGCAUUAUCAAUCAAGUUCAAGGACACUGAAAACAUGCAGACAUGUGCCUGAGCAUGCACACACACACACACACAUACAUGCACACACGUGUGCACACAUACACGCAUGCAUCCACACCACAUAUGUGUGUGCACACAUGCACAUGCGUGCGCGCACACACACACACUAAUAUCUGGAAAUAAACAUCAGGCUGGUGAUUUGACCUCAGGAUGUUAUUGCUGGAAAGGAUUUUCAAAUCAUCUAGGCCAACCCUUCAUGUUAUAGAUUAGGUAACUCGCUGCAGCCCAGAGAGGGGAAGAGUCUUGCCUGCAGUUACUUAGCAAAGGGAAAGCCAUCAGGGGACUUGAACCCACAGUGGCUGAAUCCCAUCCCAACAAGCACACAGCCAGGACAAUUUUCCCUUACAGUGAAAGGCUCCGUCCAGCCUGUGCCCUCAAAGGGCUGUGCUGUCUUCCGCAGGGCCCCAGCCUUGGCCGAGAGUACCUGCUUCAGACGAGGCCAGCUGUAUCACAAUUCUCGUUUAAUAAAAUACUUACCUAAACACCUGCCCACAUAAGCUCACCUGGGGUGGAUGACAGAAAGGUGCCAAGGAGGACAGUGUGGGCUCAGCAUGCUGUCAGCACUUGCUGACAAGUGCCUUAGUUUCCUGGAAAUCAGAGAAGCUUCUUAUCUUUUAUUCAUUCAUUUAUUGAUUAUUUUACUAAACUACCAAUAUUUCAGUAAGUGAUAUCUUUUGCACGGAAAUCUAUUUCAUUUGCUCAUGUCAUAUGGCCACGUUCUACCAUCUUUAUGUGUAUUGCUUAAUUAUUUUAAGAUUUUUUAUGUAAACAUCUAUUGAACUCUCAUCAUAUGGUGGACAAAUUAUCAAUAGGUACAUUUUUCUAUAUAAUAUCAUUUUAUUCCUACCAAAGCCCUAGGAGAUGCUUAUUAUUGUUACUGACAUUUUUCAGAUGAGACACCUGCAUGCAUUUUGCUUCAGGUUACACAGGCAAGAAAUGGCAGAGAUGCAACUCACUGCCAAAGAUACUGUAUGGCCAGCGAAGGCGUCCUGGAGGUGGAUGGCUUUUGAGUUGGACUUGGAAGUAUCUGCGAAAGAAGAGAAAAGAGGAUGGCAACUUCUAGAAGAGAGAGAAGAGAGACUUGCAAACACAAGCAAGGAGAAGAGUGUGUUUGUCAUGGUUCUUUGUUGCAAACAACAGAACGAAACUGGCUAAUUUGAGUUAAAAAAGAAAUGAGAAAUAGGUGUGGAAGCUGGAUUGACCAGCUCAUUGAGAAGCCCACCCUGAAUGUGCCAGCUCACAGUCCAGUGGGAGGUGCCCUAGACUGAGAAGGGCUGGUCUCCAUGGAGCAGUGGAAGAGAGCCUGGGGUCUGCAAGAGCAGGGGCACCUUCUUUGGGCCCAGCCUGUGUGCAGGGCAGGUCAGACCUGCUCACGUUGCCCGGGCCCAGCUCUAGGCACUCAUUCAGCGGGGACCUCAGCCUCUGGAGAAGGGGCCCUGGCCCUGCCUGAAGGCUUCUCUGGUGGGAGGACUUGAGCUACAGCAAGUCUGAGAGGAGGAAGGAUAUUCCAGGGGAAGAGGGCUGGAUGGGAAGAACAUUCUGGUUAGACUAGGCCCUUGCACAUCCAGGGGUGAGAAACAGUGUUGCACAGUGGCUGAACGAGCUGGUUAUGUCCCUCACUUCCUGUCACAGCCUCUCUGUACCUCAGUUUCCUUCUUGCUAAAAUGAGAAUGAUAGAGGUAUUUGCCGAUAGGGGUAUUAUUUAAAUAGGUUUAUAUAAAGAACUGUCUAAAAUGGUAAGAAAAGUGCCCAGUGUGCCAAAGGUUCUUAGCAAAUGUUAGCUGUUAUGAGUAUUAUCAGUAUCAUCACAGCUAGAAGGUAGGCCACGUGAUGUGUGUGUGUGCUUGUGCACAUGUGUGUGUGCGUGAGUGCAUGUGUGCAUCCUCAGGAUGGAGGGCUACAACUGUUUCUGUGGGUCCCUAGGGUUUGGAUUUAACUCUGAGACAUUGAGGAGCCACAGACAUUUCACUGACACACAACAGACCUGACCACAUUUGUGCUUUAGAAAGUUCCCUGGGUGAAGGCCUGGGUGGUGGACUGGAAGUGGGCACGUGUAGAGGUGGGGAGGUAGUGGGAAGCGGGCCCCCACCAAGCCUGUGACAGGGACACUGGGGAGCACGACCAGUUUUGAGAGCAGUCCAGGGGUAGAGCCCACUGGUCUUGAUGUCUGAUUUGGUCUAGGAUGUUAGUAGAGGGGAGUGGAGAUGACUAGCUUUCUAUUAGAACAACAGUUGCUUAGACCCAGGGUCCAUCCACUAGGAGAGGAGGAAAAGGAUCAGGUAGGGAGGGCAGGUGGCACGUGGUCAGGGGGUUGGUGGGGUGGCCUGGUGGACAAUUGUGCCUCCAGUUAUGAGACUUACUCCAUUUGAGCAGCCAUCUAGGGAGCAAUGUCUGGCAGGCAGAUGGCCCUGUGGGAUGAGCAGGGAGCUUAGCAGGGAGGCCUGGGGCUGGAGAGGGAGAUGGGCUGUCUACGAGUGUUUUAGACCCCAGGAGAGCAUGGAUGCAGUGAGCCUUAAUUGGGAGCAAUUUUGCUUCCCAGGGGUCAUUUGGCAAAGUCUAGAGACAUUUUUGAUGGUCAGGACUGGUGGGUGCUACUGGCACCUAGUGGGUAGGGGCCAGGGAUGCUGCUACACAUCCUACCAUACACACGAAAGCCCCACAGCAAAGACUAAUCCAGCCUCAAAUGUCAGUAUGGCCCAGGUUGAGAAUCCUGAUGUAGAGUGAAAAGAGAAGAGCCCAAAGGUGGAGGCCAGAGAAACACCCACAUUUACGGAGCGCAGGGAGCUUGAAUAUCUCUGCAUCUCAGGGAGCGUCUCUGACACCCUGAAGGGGUUAGCUGCCCCCUGGGCUGUGAUAAUCACAAGCCGCAGGCCAGGAUUACAGCUCUCACUGUGCAUUUAACGGGGCGGGCAGAGACCUUCUUCUUUAACCUGAUCCAAGAUUCACCAAGGCAGGAAGCAUGUCCUUGUCAUUUCAUUCAUUCAUUUGGUACUAACUCAGCACACAGACCACUGGGCCAUUGGAUGCUCCUGUCCCCAUCAGCCCCGUUUCAACCCUGGUGCUCUCUUCCCUCCUCUCCUCACCUCUCUACUUGGUCCAGGCCACACAGACAUGUCCCGAUUCUGGCGACCUUUGGUGCCUUUUCUCUGUCCACACCCCAAUUUAUUGCUGAUCUCAUAAAAAGCAAAACUUGGGAGAGAGAAGAUUGAGUUUGCUUCUCGCAGCAGAAUUUGAUUUAGGGCCAAGAAGGUGGCAAUUGCUGCAGAACGGAGAUCGGCUAUUUCGGGAGUGCUAUGAAUGAUUUUUUCCGUCUCCAAAUGACCUUACAUAUAUUCUGUCCCCUGCCCGCCCCUGUGCUGGGAUUGAUGGGGGUGCUGCGACUGGGCUCCCGUGGGCCCCCACUGCUGCUCCUAAUAAAUCUGUCUGAUGGGCAGAAAGAGUGUGAGUACCUGGGCGGAUGGACAGCUGGAGGGGCCGGCGAUUUCACACCUGAGGUUUGGGGGACUUGGGUUCCAUGGUGGCCUCUGUGGUAACCCAUGCAUGCUAACUUGAUCAGAUUGGGGCUAUCCACUGUCACUCAAGGCUCUGCCUCCUGGGGAAGAUGAUCUGGCACAUUGGUCAGUGGUCUUUUAGUAAACCAGGGUCUGCCUUCUUCACCCUCCCUGCCUCUCUGCAUGUUUGGUCCCCACCGAUGUCAACUCCCCAGCUCUUCCCACAUGCAACCACUGUUCCUGCCCCAGGACACCAGAAGGUGCCCCUGUCCUGAGUCAGGAGUUCAAAGACUUGAAUUUGGGUCUCAAACCACUGGCAAAGUGGUCCACUUUGAGCAAAUUUCCUCUAAUCUCUGAGCCUCAACUUUCUAACUGUAAAAUAGGGGUGACACUAGUAUAACUAACCUAAGAUUAUCAAGAAUAUCACAAGAAUUUGGGUUGUGGAAUCAUGGGACUCAGAUUUCGGUCCCAGCUCCCCUCUGGCUUAGUUCAGGGGUGUUGGGGUCAUUCUUCUAGUCUUGGUUUCUCCAUCUUUGAUGAAGACCAAGUGAAAUAGGGAGUGCAUGGGCAUUUUGCGAUGCAUAAACAAUUUGAGGAAGGCUUCCCAGGAGCUUCUGCUUAGCACUUUUGGGGCUGGCUUGUUCUCUCUGCCCCAACCAGGCCUGGCCGCUGCCUGUUAUCUUCCUGCCUGGGCCACUAGGCUACAGCUCUGGUGGAAAUUGAGAGGGCGAGUCUCCCAGAAGGCACAGAGGUGGGUGUUUUCAUAAGGAGAACAUUUUGAUUUGGCUGUAUCAAAGUCCCCAUGUCAAAAUGAAAACCAUUGUCCUUUAUUUCCAAAUAAUGUGCCCCCCCCAGGAAUCUUGACAAUCCCUGACCACUCCCUCCUUUUCUUAUCUCAUCCCAGCUUCGCACCCCUUUGCUGGUCCCUACCUCAAGAGCGGAGCCAAGUGAUGGCUGUGGAAAGGUGACAGAUGGAGGGGUUUGGUGACAGUUGUUUCCACAUCUUACUUAGUGACUAUAAAAAAAUAGCUGGAAAUCGAAUGUUUGGUUUUUAAACUAAGUCAAAAUGUCUCUUUAUCAAAAGGGCUGUGUCAAACAAAACAUGGAAUCAAAAGCAGUUACAAUUUCAGGCACCUACAGGACAUGCAGGGGUGGAGGUGCCACCAUUAUGGAGAUGUGGUUCUGUCUGCAUGCCUAGGAAGCUAAUUCUCUAGGAACCCAGUAGGCCUCAGGUCCUGGAGGCCAGCUCCUCUUGGCCACGUGCAAGAGCAAAAGCACGGCAGAUGAGAUGCUCGCCCUGAGGAAGGCGGUGAGCAGGCACUGGCUGGGGUGGAGACAAUCAUCCUGAUUCUUCAGUCAGCUACAUCUCCCUCUCAGUGAGCACACGCCCGUCGACUCCCAAGAUCAGAUGGAAGCUCAGAUGCUAGGGAGCCCAGAGAGCUUUCCAACGGACGUUUCCCUAAAGCAAAUGGGCUAGAGGAACCAUAAGAUUGGGCUGGUCUACCUGCCUCUCAUGACCUAGCGGGAGUCGAAGAGGCUGAGUGCCCUUCUCAGAGCCAUAGAGCCAGUGAAGGGCCAAGAUAGAUGGGACUCAAGACCCUGGCUCAGCACCCACUGCUUCUCACCACAGUGCUAGCCCUGCCCCCAAGACACACACACACUCACCUUAAGUGGAUUGUCUCUCUUCUCAAACUCAAAAUAUGUCAAUUUUCACAUUAAAGAAAAGAUCUUCAUUCUGUGGGUCUUCAUGUGUGGAGAGGGCAAAGCAGCGCCUGGUGUAUAAAUAAGGGAGGGAGGAGGAAAUGACAUCAGAUUUAUGGUGAGCCUGCUAUGUACCUGGGACUAGGCAGAGUGCUUCCCACGAUUUCUGAUAGGAUCCUGACAACAAACACUUGUGGCACCUACCCUUGUUCCUAUUUACUGAUGAAGAAACCAAAGCUUAAAAAAGCCGGUCACUUUCCCAGAGUCCCUCAGAAAGUAAGAAGAACAGAGCUGGGUCUGUUGCUUCCUAUGGCUGAAUUUAAGAUCUCUGUCCUCUGGCAACUUCCAUGUUCAGGAGUUCCCUCUCCCUCCCAGUCUCUCCCUGUUCUUUCGUUCCUUCGUUCUGUGAAUACUUGAUGAGCAGCAGCUCUAUGCCAGGUGCUAUUCCAGGCACUGGGGAUACAGCCGUGAACCAAAGAAUGAUUAAAAUCCUUCUGUUUGUGGGACUCAAAUCUUAAUGGAGGAGCUGAGAGGGAGAUGGAAGGAUGGACAAUAAAUACAAUAAUAGGUUGAACUGCUUGAGCUUGCUAAUAUUCCACCAUCUUGACUUACAAAAAGGGCCAUUUCAUGUAGUUUAACCUAAUCAGUAAAAUACACAGCUGGUAAUAAGUGCUACGGAGUAACAUAAAGCUGAAGGGGGUGGGUUGGGGAACUCGGGUUAGAGGUGUCACCUCUACUGCUGUGCAAGGGCUCUUUCUAGCGCGCUCAUAGGACCGUGCACACCUCGUCUCCCUCGAAAACUCCCAGGCUUGAGGUAGGAGCCCUAACUCCUUCUUGGGGACUCAAGGCUUCGCAUGUUCCACCUCUGUCUCCCUGUCAGAACACAGCGUGCUCUGUCUGCCAGGGUAGCUGGCCCUUAAAGAAACCGCCCUUCAUGCCAUUGUCUGCCGGCCUUUCAGCCCAGCUGGAGCGGCAGCGCCUCAGAGUGCUUUCCUGAACCUUGCCCUCCUUCUCCCAGACACUUUUAAUUGCUCCCGCCUCUGCAUUCACACACCACUUUAUUAUAGCACUUAGAACUGCUCUUCUCUUUAGAAGAUGCUGUGAUUUAUUCAUGUGCCUCAUUAAUGGUCCUAAUCCCAGUGGCUGGUUCAGGGCCUGGUAUGCAACAAGGUUCAUGGCGGGCUUGAUGAUAAAUGAAGGAAGGAAGAAAUACUGAAUGGGAGCUACAGGGAGUAGAGAAUCAGGAAAGAUGGGGGCUUUAUAGAGAGGGUCAAUGAAAGCAGAUCUUGGGGAUGGGGGGAUUGACCAAGGGAGAGGAGAGGGGAGGCUCGUGCCCUGCCUGUCCACACUUGUCCAUAUUUGCCCAUAUCUGCUCAUGGCCUACCUGUCCACACCUGCCCAUAUCUGCCCAUGUGUGGUGUGCCUAUACCAGCCUGUCCACACCUGCCCACUUGUACCGCUUCCUGCCCUUCAGCCACCCUGGACUUGCUUUUCCUAUGGCCUUGAAGGCUCUUGUCAUUACCUCCCUCCCUGCAAUCCCUAAGCACACUUGAGGAGGCCUCUCCCAGUAGCCAGACUGGGGAGGUUGGCCUGGACGAGUGCCUAUAGCACCCAGCUGUAUCCCGUGGGAUCCUCCCUGAAGCUCUGACAUCUGUCGGGCAGCAGGGCACGGUGACUGAGUUGUUGGUUUUAGGAUCAGACUGCCCGUGUGUUCAAAUCCUAGCUGUGACCUUGGGCAAGUUGGUUGUCUUUUCUGUCAUUCCUCCAUCAUUUCCUCUGUGAAGUGAGAAUAAUAAUUGUCAACCCUGUGGAGUAUUAGGAAAUUUGCAGGAACUAAAACACGUGGAGUGCCAGCCCAGAGCCAGGCACUUAGUAAGCUGUCAGGUGGCAUUAGUUCUCAUCAUCGUGUCAUCUCUCUUUCCCUUUGGGUGGACUCCAUGAGGCGAGGGACCCUCUUGGCCUUGUUCUUUGCCUGGCACGCACAUGAAAGAGCAGGCCAGUGGCUGUUGGGUGAGCGGUUCCAGGAGGGAUCAGCAGGGGCAGACUUCGAGCUGGGCUGAGUGGAGAGGAGAGCAAUGUGACAGGGCCAGGCAGAGGAUCCAGGGUCCAGAGCACAGGGUUUUGAGAGAGGGGAGAGACUGGGGCCCUCGACUGGAAAGAAGACCAGUCUCUCUCUUGUACACAUUGACAAGUGACGCUCUGCCCAUCUGGGAAUGAGGUUGCCAGAGAAACCAGAGAUGCCCCCAGCCCAGCUUUUCUCUACGACAUUAUAUAUUCUGGGCCACAUCCCUCCAGUCAACACUUCCCCCCUCACUUUACUCCUUUUCUUACUCUUCCAUCAUAAAAAUCUCCAGAUACAGGUUUUGUUCAAAGUGAAUGAGGGAAUAAACUCUCGGUUUCUGACAGGCCGACAAGAGAGAGAAUUCUGUAAUGGGAGAUGUGGCCCUACCUUCUUGCCCUGUGGAGAUUUGGCUGAUGUUCACAUCUGUCCAGGGAAGAGGGGACUGUGUUGGGGGAGAAAGAAAGGGAAGCUUCAAGGGGCUCCUGGGCCCAUCUUGGGAACCUUAGUUCAGGUGGGCAGCCCGGGUGGGAUCUCAGUCAUUUGCUCUUGGCUAGGGGCAGGUCUUCUGGUUUGUCUACUUGGCUAACUGACAAGCUGGGUGGAACAAGCUUCAUUCAUUCAUUCAUUCACUCAUUCAUUCAUUCAUUCAAUCUCCUGUUGAUAAUUCUUUUAGCAGUCACCAAGCAUGGACCAGAGGUACCUAAUUUCCAUCAGUAUCACCUUCUUUAAGAAGUCUUUCCACAAAGGACCAAAAAUAUUUGCAAUUCAAGUUAUGGCAAAAGAUUGACUCCCCUGGUAAAUAAAGAGCUCCUGCAAAUCAUUAAGAAAAAUAAACAACCCAAUAGGAAUCCAGGCAAAGGAUAGGAACAAAUAGCUCACAAAAAGGGAGUAUGAAGGACUGUAAGACCAACGACAUGUGAAAAUGGCUGACUCUCACUCAUGAUGACAGAUGUGACCAUGGAAAUGUCACUGAGAGGCCGCCACCCUCCCCACCCCUUGAUCGCUCAAGAUUGCAUCGAUGAGGGGGUGGGACAGGUACAUACUGCUGAACAGUGGCAAAUGUUGUGGAGACCCAUUUGACCGUCUCCCCUGGAGGGGAAUUGGCAAUAUCUCCAUACUGCCUCUAUCUAGCAAACCUGCCUCCAGAAAUGAGGCCCACCUCUGCAUGUACGAGAUUAUUAGAUGGUUUGCUGAAGUAUUUUCUGUAUGGUCAAAGAUUGAAAAAAGCCUAGACAUCCAUCAUGAGGGCAUUAGCUAAAUAAUUUAUAGUGGAUUUACAGAUCCAAUUAAAUACUCUGUAGUCACAUGAGAAAAGGUAAUAGGGAGCACCUUGAUGCACUAAUGUGCAUUGGGCUCCAAGAUACAUUUUUUUUUUUUUAAAGAUUUUAUUUUUUCCUUUUUCUCCCCAAAGUCCCCCGG